CACCUGCCACAGCAUGGCUUGCCAAGCGGUGCCAUGUCUGCACUCGGAAUCUGAACCCCUGGCCGCCGAAGCGGAACAUGUGAACUUAACCGCUGCACCACUGGGCCGGCCCCAGGAACAGGGGAUUUUGUGUAUUCUAUUCACUACUUUAUCUCAAGUGUCCAGAACAGUGCUGGGCCUAUAAUGGGUGCUAAAUAAAUACCUAACAAGUGAAUGUUUUUGUUUAAGAGAACCUGAGAUCACAUAGAACAAGCAACUUAUUUUACAGCUGAGGAAAGGGAGGUGAGUGACAUGUUCAUUCCAUAGCAAGUCAGUGGGUGGAGCUGGGCUGAACUGGACAGGUGUCCUGGAGACUCCUGGUGCCUGCCCUGGAGGCCCUUUUGAAGGAAGUAGCCGUAGGCUGUUUGUUCCAUGAACUCAUCAUGCUUUGCAUUGUGUGUGAUGGUUGUGUUUUCCCAUCUAGCAUCCACUCCCCCCAUUCUCUGAGAGUAGUAUUUUGAUUUUCCAUGGAGGAAUAACUCAUCGUCCUCUUGGUUGACGCAGUUUCCGUGGAACUGGCUCGAUGGAGGUGGACACAUGGCUCAGGUCUGACCAAUCAGAGCAUUGCUUUCUCUUGGUCACAGUUGGGUCCAGAGAGAAGGUACAUGACUCAAGCAAAGCCAAUGAAACUCCCUUCUGGGAUUUUGCUGAAAGUAUUAAGGAGAAAUUCUCAGCAGGGUUUCUAAGCUGGUGGAAUGCAGGCUUGGAACUGCCGAUGGCCAUCUUUGCCACUACUUGGGAAGAGCCAGCCUGAGAAUGAAGACGAGACAGAGAGAAGCAGAGCCUAGAGAUGUGGCCUGACCUUUAGACGCUCAUGUUUCUGCCUCCGCCAUGGGGAGUCGGGCCCUCUGGGGGAGGUCUGCAGUAGCCCAGCCUGUGACGGAAAAUUUGGAGAGCCACGAGGACUGACAUCUGGGGGCUGAAAUAACACUUGGAGAUCAGGUUUCCAGUGUGAUCAGGGCUCCAGGCUUAAAGAUUGUUCUGAUCUUCAUUCGUGGUCAUAAGCAGGACCCGGGGAGGGGCUGAUCUCUUGACUGCAGUUGGCUUGUCACACGCUGGUAAGGCUCACCCCACCACUGGGAUCUCAAGUUGGCUCUCAUUUGUUAAUUGCAUAAGCCUUGAUCAUUGAUUGCUAUGGAUUUGGGGAGCCCAGACUCUGACUUUACUCACAGAAUAGGGGUAUAUUUUAUUAAUGAAAAUGAAUGAAAAGAACAAGGUCUUUAUUAUAUAAGAAAUAUGCUUCUUUGUGGGUUGAGGUAGAGAAAGCUGAUGAAAACCUAAAAACUAAGAAGGCAGUUAAUGAAGCUUAUGCCUAAAAGGCUUUGUCUUUGGGAAACAAGUUUGCUCAGGAAAUUAAGGAGGAACUAGAUUUUUUUUUUUAAAGAUUUUAUUUCCUUUUUCAAAAUUUUUUUAUUAAGAUUUUACUUUUCCUUUUUCUCCCCAAA
This is a non-coding RNA of Equus caballus (horse), 1484 nucleotides long. Lineage: Eukaryota; Metazoa; Chordata; Mammalia; Perissodactyla; Equidae. The record is from RefSeq and is a predicted model, not a curated record.